GAAGCAGGCCAGACAGUCGCUGGUCCACGCCGCAAGGUCGUGGACGGGAGGAAGGUCCGGACUCCACAGAGCGGGGUGACGGUUAACGGCCGUCCGCUGAAAGCCGUCUGGCGCAAGCCAGCGGUAUAAGGCGAGGAAUAGGGCCACAGAGACGAGCGUAUUCAGUUACGGUGAAACGCGGUAACCUCCACCUGGAGCAAUUCCAAAUAGGCACGCGUUGAUGUUGCUCGCGGAGCGUGCGGGUAGGAAGCUUGAGCGCUGGAGUAAUCCAGCGCCUAGAGGAAUGGCUGUCCAUGCGCCGCCGCAAGGUGGCGUUACACAGAAUCCGGCCUAUCGGCCUGCUUUACUU
Non-coding RNA from Massilia timonae, 349 nucleotides. It matches the Rfam family "Bacterial RNase P class A". Rfam says of the family: Ribonuclease P (RNase P) is a ubiquitous endoribonuclease, found in archaea, bacteria and eukarya as well as chloroplasts and mitochondria. The record is from Rfam. Lineage: Bacteria; Pseudomonadati; Pseudomonadota; Betaproteobacteria; Burkholderiales; Oxalobacteraceae.